Molecule: long non-coding RNA, 540 nt
Organism: Patella vulgata (common limpet)
Lineage: Eukaryota; Metazoa; Mollusca; Gastropoda; Patellidae
Exons: 3
Source: RefSeq, a predicted model, not a curated record
GACUUUUACAUUAAACAAAUAACUACCUAAAGUCAACAUGCUGCUGCUCGUUGUAUCUAUUUUUAUGCUAGGGUCAUAUGACGUUCUUGGACAAUGUAAAGAUCGAGACUUCGAUGCCCUGUUUUUUAGGUAUGAAGGGCAGACGUGGACACAGGGUUGCGAUAGAUGUGUCUGUCAGAACACAAACAUAACCUGCAGUGGUGGGCCUAUUUGUACCAUGCCUUAUAGUGAAGAUUUAAAGAGGACAUGUCUUCGGUGGACUGAUGACAAAUGUUGUUGCUUAAAAGUAGGAUGUCGGUCUGAGAUAGACCAUAAAGAAUAUAAUUUUGGGGAUUUCAUGCCAAUGGACCAGAAUGGUUGUAAAUCAUGUCGCUGCGAAGCCCAUAGCCGAGGUCUCUGUAAAUAUGACAUGGCCAAAGCUGGCUGUAGUGCAGUUGUUAAGCCUAAGCAGAAAAUGUCGUUGGAGUAACUAGAUACAAGUAAGUGAUAGAUGGUGGUCUGAUGUGCCGAAACUUUAAUAAAGUUCUGUUUAAAAUAUAA